Molecule: ribosomal RNA, 255 nt
Filed under: Escherichia marmotae
Lineage: Bacteria; Pseudomonadati; Pseudomonadota; Gammaproteobacteria; Enterobacterales; Enterobacteriaceae
Description: partial 23S ribosomal RNA
Rfam family: Bacterial large subunit ribosomal RNA
Source: RNAcentral
UAAGCGUACACGGUGGAUGCCCUGGCAGUCAGAGGCGAUGAAGGACGUGCUAAUCUGCGAUAAGCGUCGGUAAGGUGAUAUGAACCGUUAUAACCGGCGAUUUCCGAAUGGGGAAACCCAGUGUGAUUCGUCACACUAUCAUUAACUGAAUCCAUAGGUUAAUGAGGCGAACCGGGGGAACUGAAACAUCUAAGUACCCCGAGGAAAAGAAAUCAACCGAGAUUCCCCCAGUAGCGGCGAGCGAACGGGGAGGAG